Molecule: ribosomal RNA, 465 nt
Filed under: uncultured bacterium
Lineage: Bacteria
Description: partial 16S ribosomal RNA
Rfam family: Bacterial small subunit ribosomal RNA
Source: RNAcentral
GACGAACGCUGGCGGCGUGCUUAACACAUGCAAGUCGAACGGAAAGGCCCGUUUGGGGGUACUCGAGUGGCGAACGGGGGAGUAACACGUGAGUAACCUGCCCUUGACUUCGGGAUAACUUCAGGAAACUGGGGCUAAUACCGGAUAGGAAUCCUUGCUGCAUGGUGGGGGUUGGAAAGCUUCGGCGGUUUUGGAUGGACUCGCGGCUUAUCGGCUGGUUGGUGGGGUAGUGGCUUACCAAGGCUUUGACGGGUAGCCGGCCUGAGAGGGCGACCGGCCACAUAGGCACUGAGAGACGGCCCAGACUCCUACGGGAGGCAGCAGUGGGGAAUAUUGCACAAUGGGCGGAAGCCUGAUGCAGCAACGCCGCGUGCGGGAUGACGGCCUUCGGGUUGUAAACCGCUUUCAGCAGGGGCGAAGCUUGUGUUGACGGUACCUGCAGAAGAAGCACCGGCUAACUACGUG